This is an RNA transcript of Myotis lucifugus (little brown bat), 3461 nucleotides long. It is a transcript of the gene named VPS39, HOPS complex subunit, with no coding region annotated. The record is from RefSeq and is a predicted model, not a curated record. The transcript has 25 exons. NCBI's taxonomy places the organism in Eukaryota, Metazoa, Chordata, Mammalia, Chiroptera, Vespertilionidae.
GCAGGAAGUCCGGUGUUGGUGAUGGCUCUGCUGCUGGAAGGCCUGUAGUUGGGGUCUCCGGCCAGGUUCUGCUCGGCCCUUUCCUCAGAGCGGUUCUGUUCCCGGCCCGGCCCGGCCCUCUCAGAGUGAGGCUGUCCCGGCGACUCUGCUCGCCGCCAUGCACGACGCCUUCGAGCCGGUGCCGAUCCUAGAAAAGCUGCCUCUGCAGAUCGACUGUCUGGCUGCCUGGGAGGAAUGGCUUCUUGUUGGAACCAAACAAGGACAUCUUCUCCUCUACAGGAUUCGGAAGGAUGUUGGCUGCAACAGGUUUGAAGUGACACUAGAGAAAUCCAAUAAGAAUUUCUCCAAAAAGAUUCAGCAGAUCCAUGUGGUUUCCCAGUUUAAGAUUCUAGUCAGCUUGUUAGAAAAUAAUAUUUAUGUCCAUGACCUAUUGACAUUUCAACAAAUCACUACGGUUUCAAAAGCAAAGGGAGCAUCGCUGUUCACAUGUGACCUCCAGCACAUAGAGACUGGUGAGGAGGUGUUGCGGAUGUGUGUAGCUGUGAAAAAGAAGCUGCAGCUCUAUUUCUGGAAGGACAGGGAAUUUCAUGAAUUGCAGGGGGACUUUAGUGUACCAGACGUGCCCAAGUCCAUGGCAUGGUGUGAAAAUUCUAUCUGUGUGGGUUUCAAGAGAGACUACUACCUCAUAAGGGUGGAUGGAAAGGGGUCCAUCAAAGAGCUCUUCCCAACAGGAAAGCAGCUGGAGCCCUUAGUUGCCCCUCUGGCAGAUAGGAAAGUGGCCGUGGGUCAGGAUGAUCUCACCGUGGUGCUCAAUGAGGAGGGGAUCUGCACACAGAAAUGCGCCCUGAACUGGACGGACAUACCAGUGGCCAUGGAGCACCAGCCUCCCUACAUCAUUGCAGUGUUGCCUCGAUAUGUGGAGAUCCGAACACUCGAGCCAAGGCUCCUGGUCCAGAGCAUUGAAUUGCAAAGGCCCCGUUUCAUCACUUCAGGAGGAUCAAACAUUAUCUAUGUGGCCAGCAAUCAUUUUGUUUGGAGACUUAUUCCUGUCCCCAUGGCAACUCAGAUCCAACAGCUGCUCCAGGACAAACAGUUUGAAUUGGCUUUGCAGCUUGCAGAAAUGAAAGAUGAUUCUGACAGUGAGAAGCAACAGCAGAUCCAUCACAUCAAAAACUUGUAUGCCUUCAACCUCUUCUGCCAGAAGCGUUUUGAUGAGUCCAUGCAGGUCUUUGCUAAGCUCGGCACAGAUCCUACCCAUGUGAUGGGCCUGUACCCGGACCUGCUGCCCACAGACUACAGGAAGCAGCUGCAGUAUCCUAACCCCCUGCCUGUGCUCUCCGGGGCUGAAUUGGAGAAGGCUCACUUAGCUCUGAUUGACUACCUGACACAGAAACGGAGCCAGUUGGUAAAGAAGCUGAAUGACUCUGAUCACCAGUCUAGCACUUCCCCGCUCAUGGAAGGCACUCCCACCAUCAAAUCCAAGAAGAAGCUGCUGCAGAUCAUCGACACCACCCUGCUCAAGUGCUACCUCCAUACCAACGUGGCCCUGGUGGCCCCCCUGCUGCGCCUGGAGAACAAUCACUGCCACAUCGAAGAGAGCGAGCACGUGCUGAAGAAGGCUCACAAGUACAGUGAGCUCAUCAUCCUGUACGAGAAGAAGGGGCUCCAUGAGAAAGCCCUGCAGGUGCUGGUGGACCAGUCCAAGAAAGCAAACUCGCCGCUGAAAGGCCACGAGAGGACGGUGCAGUAUCUGCAACAUCUGGGCACAGAAAACCUGCAUUUGAUUUUUUCCUACUCGGUGUGGGUGCUGAGAGACUUCCCAGAGGAUGGCCUGAAGAUAUUCACCGAAGACCUCCCGGAGGUGGAGUCUCUGCCCCGGGACCGAGUGCUCGGCUUCCUGGUAGAGAAUUUUAAGGGCCUGGCUAUUCCUUAUCUGGAGCACGUCAUCCACGUCUGGGAGGAGACGGGCUCCAGGUUCCACAACUGCCUGAUCCAGCUGUACUGUGAGAAGGUGCAAGGUCUGAUGAAGGAGUACCUCCUGGCCUUCCCUGCAGGCCAAACUCCAGUUCCUGCUGGAGAGGAAGAGGGUGAGCUGGGAGAAUAUCGACGGAAGCUCCUUAUGUUCUUGGAAAUUUCCAGCUACUACGACCCGGGCCGGCUCAUCUGUGAUUUUCCUUUUGAUGGCCUCUUAGAAGAACGUGCUCUCCUGCUGGGGCGCAUGGGGAAACAUGAACAAGCUCUCUUCAUCUAUGUCCACAUCCUGAAGGACACAAAGAUGGCUGAGGAGUACUGCCACAAGCAUUAUGACCAAAACAAAGAUGGCAACAAAGAUGUGUAUCUGUCCCUGCUCCGGAUGUACCUGUCGCCCCCCAGCGUUCACUGUCUGGGGCCCAUCAAGCUGGAACUGCUGGAGCCCCAAGCCAACCUCCAGGCUGCCCUGCAGGUCCUCGAGCUGCACCACAGCAAACUGGACACCACCAAGGCCCUCAACCUCCUGCCAGCGAAUACUCAGAUUAACGAGAUACGCAUCUUCCUGGAAAAGGUCUUGGAAGGAAAUGCGCAAAAGAAACGGUUCAAUCAAGUGCUCAAGAACCUUCUCCAUGCAGAGUUCCUGCGGGUACAGGAAGAGCGGAUUUUACACCAGCAGGUGAAGUGCAUCAUCACGGAGGAGAAGGUGUGCAUGGUGUGUAAGAAGAAGAUUGGGAACAGGUGAGCCUGCUCGCACCUCUGCAGGGUCUGCUCUGGGUGGGCCACACUCUGCCCUCUAACCCGAGGGGAGAGCGAGGGGACAGUCCUCACUGUCAGGAGUGAGCUUUGAGGAUUUAAAAGCCUGGAAUGUAUGGCUGGGGCUGUUGACUUCUUGCCCAUAAAGUCCCUCCCUUCUGGCAGCUAGAAAUUGUGAUGUAGCCAGUGGGUGUGAGAGUUGUAUAUGGGGAGGGGGUCCUUAUCUUUUAGGGAUGCACCUUUGAAGGAAGAAAAAGAUCUUUCAACCUGCUGCCUCAGGAUUUGAGUAAAAUCCUGAGCCAGGAUAUACUGUUUUAAGGCAUAUACUCUAGUCGAUCCCCUUUCCCUCAAAGGAGAGUAAUUUUCCUUUUUCUUACAUGGGAGAAUUCUUUUCUUUAAAAAGACCUAACUCUGUCCUUUGUUAGAAUUAGCCCGAGACUUGUUCUGAAGAGCAUCGUUGCCUCUCAGUAAGCCGGUGCCAAGCCAGGCCGGCGCACGGCCCUAUUCAGUCGUGUUUCACGUUGAUGACUUAACAAGAACCUUCAUGUACUCGAACUCCAUGGACCUCAUCCUCUGUUUAGUUAUUGGACAGAGAUGAUGGCUAUGUAAAUCCAGAGACACUGGGACAGGCUGCUCUUUGUGGUGAGGGCGGGCUGCUGGGAUGGCUCCCGGGUAAGUGCCUGUCCUAGGUAAGAAGCGGCCUCUAUAGGCAGUCACUCCCAAGUCAUUUGUCUUCC